GAUCAUGGCUCAGGAUGAACGCUGGCGGCAUGCCUAAUACAUGCAAGUCGAACGAGAGGAAGGAAAGCUUGCUUUUCUGAAUCUAGUGGCGAACGGGUGAGUAACGCGUAUGCAACCUGCCCGAUACCGGGGUAUAGCCCAUGGAAACGUGGAUUAACACCCCAUAGUACUUUUAUCCUGCAUGGGAUGUGAGUUAAAUGUUCAAGGUAUCGGAUGGGCAUGCGUCCUAUUAGUUAGUUGGG
RNAcentral lists this ribosomal RNA (242 nucleotides) under uncultured bacterium. RNAcentral's name for it is "partial 16S ribosomal RNA". It matches the Rfam family "Bacterial small subunit ribosomal RNA", at positions 15 to 253 of the family's 1533-position model. The record is from RNAcentral.